CAUCGCUCCUUGUAAAAAAUUAAUAAAGGAGUACUGCCUGCCCAGUGACCAAAAAUUCAACGGCCGCGGUAUCUUGACCGUGCAAAGGUAGCAUAAUAAUUUGCUCUUUAAUUGAGGGCUAGUAUGAAAGGCAAGACGAAAGCUUAACUGUCUCCCUAUUAUAAAAAGAAAUUAAUAUAUUAGUGAAGAAGCUAAAAUAAAAAUGCAAGACGAGAAGACCCUGUCGAGCUUAAGAAAAUUUUUAUACAAAAAACAAAAAUAAAAGCUAAUCUUAUAAAUAUACUUUUUUAUAAACAAUAAAAAUAUCUUUGGUUGGGGCAACCACGAAGAAAAUAGAACCUUCGAUUUUUAAAAAAAAAUAAACAAAUUUAAAAGCUUUAUAAGCUAUAUUAGAUCCAAUACUAAUUGAUCAAAGAAAAAAGUUACCGCAGGGAUAACAGCGUUAUUCUCUUUAAGAGCUCUUAUUGACAAGAGAGUUUGCGACCUCGAUGUUGGACCGGGGCAUCCAAGAGAUGCAGAAGUCUCUAAAGGUAGGUCUGUUCGACCUUUAAAGCCCUACGUGA
RNAcentral lists this ribosomal RNA (563 nucleotides) under Comaster multifidus. Its description in RNAcentral is "partial 16S ribosomal RNA". It matches the Rfam family "Bacterial large subunit ribosomal RNA", at positions 1814 to 2603 of the family's 2925-position model. The record is from RNAcentral. Lineage: Eukaryota; Metazoa; Echinodermata; Crinoidea; Comatulida; Comatulidae.